RNAcentral lists this long non-coding RNA (367 nucleotides) under Androctonus crassicauda. Lineage: Eukaryota; Metazoa; Arthropoda; Arachnida; Scorpiones; Buthidae. The record is from RNAcentral.
UAAUAUGAUACCUCCAUAUCAAAAUUAUGUGAACAAACAAAGUAUUGUAUUUCAUUCAGUUGUAAAUCUUUUUCCAAAGUCUGCAUCUUCUGUUUCAUUUAUGAAUAGACAGAUUGCUCUUAUUACUAGGAGUGGUGUGAGCUCCUCAGAAUCCACUCCUAGUAAUCCUCAGGAUAUUACAACUAGCAUGCCAUGCAUAUUUAAAAUAUCAGGUGACUAUUCACAUUCAUAUUUUCUUAUUUUUAUCUAAAUAUCAAUGAAAAUGAAAUAAUAUUGCCUAAUUUACACAAAUUGAUAAUAAAAUUCAAGCACUAUAAACAGGAUUAUAUGCAGUUUACAUUUUAAUCAAUUUACAGUUAAUUAAGCC